RNAcentral lists this transfer RNA (68 nucleotides) under Uropsilus gracilis (gracile shrew mole). Its description in RNAcentral is "tRNA-Trp". RNAcentral also lists the same sequence under 1 other name. Lineage: Eukaryota; Metazoa; Chordata; Mammalia; Eulipotyphla; Talpidae. The record is from RNAcentral.
AGAGGUUUAGGUUAAACUAGACCAAGGGCCUUCAAAGCCCUAAGCAAGUACAAUUUACUUAACCUCUG